AUCAUUGAAACACUAGUUCCUGUAUGAUCACCAAAGUUAAGCAAUAUCGAGCCUGGUUAGUACCUAGAUGGGUGACCUGUUUGGGAAUACCAGGUGCUGUAAG
Molecule: non-coding RNA, 103 nt
Organism: Acanthosepion pharaonis
Lineage: Eukaryota; Metazoa; Mollusca; Cephalopoda; Sepiida; Sepiidae
Source: the annotation of a GenBank genome assembly